CCUACGGGGCGCAGCAGUAGGGAAUUUUCGUCAAUGGGCGCAAGCCUGAACGAGCAAUGCCGCGUGAACGAGGAAGGUCUUCGGAUCGUAAAGUUCUGUUGAAGGGGAGAAAGAGCGGAGAGAGGAAAUGGUCUCCGAUUGAUAUUACCCUUCGAGGAAGUCACGGCUAACUACGUGCCAGCAGCCGCGGUAAUACGGAGGAUGCGAGCGUUAUCCGGAUUUAUUGGGCGUAAAGCGAGUGCAGGCGGUUCAAUAAGUCUGAUGUGAAAGCCUUCGGGUACACCGGAGAAUUGCAUC
RNAcentral lists this ribosomal RNA (297 nucleotides) under uncultured bacterium. RNAcentral describes it as "partial 16S ribosomal RNA". It matches the Rfam family "Bacterial small subunit ribosomal RNA", at positions 338 to 627 of the family's 1533-position model. The record is from RNAcentral.